UCUGCUUUAUCAGCUAGCGGUCUCACUAGAGUGCCCAACUAAAUGGUGGCAACUAGUGACAAGGGUUGCGCUCGUUGCGGGACUUAACCCAACAUCUCACGACACGAGCUGACGACAGCCAUGCAGCACCUGUAUCCACGUCCCCGAGGGGAACCCCUACUUUCAUAGGGUAGCGUGGUAUGUCAAGCCUAGGUAAGGUUUUUCGCGUUGCAUCGAAUUGAACCAGAUACUCCACCGCUUGUGCGGGCCCCCGUCAAUUUCUUUGAGUUUUAAUCUUGCGACCGUAAUUCCCAGGCGGGAUACUUAACGCGUUAGCUACGACGCCGGGGGGGUAAGACCCCCGACAUCUAGUAUCCAUCGUUUACGGCGUGGACUAC
Molecule: unclassified non-coding RNA, 377 nt
Filed under: uncultured delta proteobacterium
Lineage: Bacteria; Deltaproteobacteria
Description: contains 16S-23S intergenic spacer region
Source: RNAcentral